GCCGGGUGGGGUGGCCUGUGCCUGUAGUCCCAGCUACUCGGGAGGCUGAGGCUGGAGGAUCUCUUGAGUCCAGGAGUUCUGGGCUGUAGUGUGCUAUGCUGAUCAGGUGUCCACACUAAGUUCGGCAUCAAUAUGGUGACCUCCUGGGAGCAGGGGACCACCAGGUUGCCUAAGGAGGGGUGAACCAGCCCAGGUUCAGAAACAGAGCAGGUCAAAACUCCCGUGCUGAUCAGUAGCAGGAUCGCACCUGUGAAUAGCCAGUGCACUCCAGCCUGGGCAACACAGCGAGACCCUGUCUCUA
Unclassified non-coding RNA from Callithrix jacchus (white-tufted-ear marmoset), 301 nucleotides. It matches the Rfam family "Metazoan signal recognition particle RNA". Rfam says of the family: The signal recognition particle (SRP) is a universally conserved ribonucleoprotein. The record is from Ensembl. Lineage: Eukaryota; Metazoa; Chordata; Mammalia; Primates; Cebidae.